CAGUGAGCUAGGCAAUAUGAACUAUUUAACUCAGCCCAAAUGGAAUCUUCAGGACAGAUUUGCAGAGAGACACCAACUUGAGAAGGAUGUGGAAGACAAAUGUGCUGCCAGGGGCAGGGAGGAAGGGGAGAUAUCGUAGGAACUGGAGGAGCAGAAUGGAAGCUGGUCUUCAACUUGAUUGAACAUGUAUCUGGAACAUUCAAAGAUUGCGAUUAAUACUAAUCUGCCACAACAGAGAUGACUAAAUGGAGGAGAACAGCACACAGUAGGACAGAAAGAGUUAGGAUGGGUGAUGGGCAACCUGGCAUUCAAGUCAUCACUCCUGAAGAGAAGACCUGACUCUGGCUGAACUGACUGGCUAACUAACUGUGCCCAAGCUCCUGAACUGGGAUCAGAGCUUCCAAAUCAAUACUGUGCUCAAAUCCCUGACCAAAGACUAUCCUCCGUUGACUUGACUGAGAACUGCUGAGAACGAUGACGGACUCCGGGCUCCCUGUCUCAGUUAACUAGCUAGACAGUGCAACAGCACUGUAAGUCUGGUCUCACUGGCUGUGGGGUAAGUUGCAAAAAGACAAGUCUAGGCAGGAGUGCUGCGAGCAUCCAGUUGGGCUCAACUGAGAGAGAAAGUGAACAGUGUACAAUAAGAAGCUGCAUACUAUUGGGGUAAGAUGUGCAAUUAGUAAGGCCAUUAAUAAACAAUAAUUCGCCUUAAUAGGCAACUCAUUCUGCCUCACAAUAAUCUCACCUCGGUACCUGGAACUUAGUUACAAGAUGCAGCAAGUUAUACCUGACAUUGAGAUUGACCUUGCCAUGUGAAUCAUGUGAAUCUUCAUAUGAUUCUGCACAUUUCCUGCCCUACACCAAGUUGUUCAGGUGAUUCAGUCUCUCUGUGAGUACAUCUCUAACAGAGGGUUUUAUCUGGUGCUACAAUGGUUUUGAUAUCUCCUGUAACAUCAGAAAGGGCAUGAUAUCAUAGCAUUGAAGAAUUCAACAUCCAUUUACUGCAACUAACCCUUAUGUAAAAGAAAUUGCAUUCCUAAGGGACACAAGUGUGUGGGUUAAUGCUAAACUAUUACUUUAUACAGAACCAAGUUUCUCGUAGAAUGUCAUGUUCCAAUUGAUCUGAGAUAAAAUGAAAUAUGAGAUCCUAAUGUCAUGUGCUGUGAUGCAGUGCGGAUAUUAUGAGCAUGUCUUUUAAAGGUAUACAGGGUAUUAAGAUACUAACCACGAGACGUAGCAGAAUGACAAUCGCAUUAUCGUCUGUGGGAUCUUGUUAGUGUAAAUAGGCUCUCAUUUUUCCUGCAUUUUUAUGGGGAUUGUAUUACACAAAAGCAGUAUGGAACAUUGCAAGGCUAUGAAAAUUGGAAUAUUAUGCAAGCCUUUCUUGCUUCAGAAACUGCUCUUGUAGGCUACAGGUAAUUCUGUUCCAAAAGGAAUUGUUUCAAAACACUAUUUUUAUGAAGAUAAAGGGUGUCAGCACUUAAUGUCAGAGAUGUGCUCCUGAUUUUAGGUGAACUGCUUUUAGGUGAAGUGUGAUUCUUAUAGGAAUCAGUGUUAAAACCACCUGCUGAGGAUAAUCUUUGCUUGGAAAGGCAAUGUCAAAAUUGAAAUACUAUGGCAAA
Non-coding RNA from Chiloscyllium plagiosum (whitespotted bambooshark), 1622 nucleotides. The record is from RefSeq and is a predicted model, not a curated record. NCBI's taxonomy places the organism in Eukaryota, Metazoa, Chordata, Chondrichthyes, Orectolobiformes, Hemiscylliidae.